RNAcentral lists this ribosomal RNA (506 nucleotides) under uncultured bacterium. RNAcentral describes it as "bacterial SSU rRNA". It matches the Rfam family "Bacterial small subunit ribosomal RNA", at positions 24 to 518 of the family's 1533-position model. The record is from RNAcentral.
UCAGGAUGAACGCUAGCUACAGGCUUAACACGAUGCAAGUCGAGGGCAGCAUGGUCUAGCUGCUAAGGCCGAUGGCGACCGGCGCGACGGGUGAGUAACGCGUAUCCAACCUUCCCCUUAGUAGGGCAUAGCCCGGCGAAAGUCGGAGUUAACACCCUAUGUUUUCCGUUGCGGGCAUCUAAUAUGGAACAAAGAUUUAUCGCUAAGGGAUGGGGAUGCGUCUGAUUAGGUAGUAGGCGGGGUAACGGCCCACCUAGCCCUCGAUCAGUAGGGGUUCUGAGAGGAAGGUCCCCCACAUUGGAACUGAGACACGGUCCAAACUCCUACGGGAGGCAGCAGUGAGGAAUAUUGGUCAAUGGCCGAGAGGCUGAACCAGCCAAGUAGCGUGCAAGGACGACGGCCCUAUGGGUUGUAAACUGCUUUUAUGCGGGGAUAAAGUCGCCCACGUGUGGGUGUUUGCAGGUACCGCAUGAAUAAGGACCGGCUAAUUCCGUGCCAGCAGCUGC